ACCCUACGGGAGGCAGCAGUGAGGAAUAUUGGUCAAUGGGCGCGAGCCUGAACCAGCCAAGUCGCGUGAGGGAAGACGGUCCUAUGGAUUGUAAACCUCUUUUGUCGGGGAGCAAAAGACGCCACGUGUGGCGUUCCGAGAGUACCCGAAGAAAAAGCAUCGGCUAACUCCGUGCCAGCAGCCGCGGUAAUACGGAGGAUGCGAGCGUUAUCCGGAUUUAUUGGGUUUAAAGGGUGCGCAGGCGGCCUGUUAAGUCAGCGGUAAAAGCCCGGGGCUCAACCCCGGCGAGCCGCUGAAACUGGCGG
RNAcentral lists this ribosomal RNA (305 nucleotides) under uncultured bacterium. RNAcentral describes it as "bacterial SSU rRNA". It matches the Rfam family "Bacterial small subunit ribosomal RNA", at positions 335 to 639 of the family's 1533-position model. The record is from RNAcentral.